RNAcentral lists this small RNA (710 nucleotides) under Histoplasma capsulatum. Its description in RNAcentral is "hypothetical RNA". The record is from RNAcentral. Lineage: Eukaryota; Fungi; Ascomycota; Eurotiomycetes; Onygenales; Ajellomycetaceae. RNAcentral also lists the same sequence under 1 other name.
UGCCCCCUGUUUUUUGUUUCUUGUUGUCUUACGAUGCACACAUCAGCCCAGCCUGAUGAUUUCAUUGAUUGGUGAUUUGCGCCUGCAAUGACGAAGCAUUUUUUUCUUUUUCCUUUCCUUUCCUUUUUUUUUUUUUGCCGCUUUUCCCUUUGUGCUCAUUGUAUUGGUGUGGUUGUUGUUGCUGUGGUUGUUGUUGCUGUUGAGUUUUUCAGUUUCUGCCUUUUUUUCUUCUUUACUUCUUCUCUUUUUUUUUUUAGGAAUUAAAUCUAUACUUGACUGCUGGCAGCUGUGGUUCUCUUUGAAUUGUCUGAAUCAUAAUCCGGCAUCGCUUACGGAGUCAUCUAGACAGGUAGACGGGGUUGUGAAGCAAUGGCUCUCGUACCACGCCCUUUUCCAAUCAUCCAUCCCUGUAAUCUAUGCGUUCUGUGUGUAAUUUUCUUUCGCCUCGUAUAAUUUUCUUUUCUUUUCUUUUUUUUUUGGACUAACGUGCUGCUGGGCGAAUCGCCCAAAGGAGCACUUGUUUUGGUUUUAUUUGCGAUUAAGUGCAUUCUUUAAGUUCUGUACAACACGGCUGUACCUGCAGUAGAGAGAGAGCGGUAACCGUAUUAUUGAAGAGGACAAACAGCGACAAAAACAAAAACAACAACAACAAAAACAACAAGCUUUUCUGAAUCAAGGGAGACUCUGCAGACAAUUUAGCCAAAAUCCCC